RNAcentral lists this small nucleolar RNA (121 nucleotides) under Erinaceus europaeus (western European hedgehog). RNAcentral's name for it is "Small nucleolar RNA U3". It matches the Rfam family "Small nucleolar RNA U3". Rfam says of the family: Small nucleolar RNAs (snoRNAs) are involved in the processing and modification of rRNA in the nucleolus. There are two main classes of snoRNAs: the box C/D class, and the box H/ACA class. U3 snoRNA is a member of the box C/D class. The record is from Rfam by way of RNAcentral. Lineage: Eukaryota; Metazoa; Chordata; Mammalia; Eulipotyphla; Erinaceidae.
AAGACUAUACUUUCAGGGAUCAUUUCUAUAGUAUGUUACUAGAGAAGUUCCUCUGAUCGUGUAGGGCACCCGAAACCACAAGGAGGGGACGCAGCGAAAGAAAAAAAAAAUCGAGAGUUGG